GUUAUAUUAAACAAUCAUAUAAAGAUUUUUCUGAUCCUUAAACUUUAAAAAUUCUUUAUUUUUCUUCCCUACCUUGAAUAUUGUCCACUAAUUUAGAUAAACAAUACAUCUAAACAAAAUGAAAUUAUUAAAUCUGUACAAAAUAACUUUUUACGAUUUAUGUCUUUUAUAUGUAACAUACAUAGGCCAGCGUAUGGUUUAUAUGAUAAUAUUUUAAAUUUCUUAAAUCUUAUUCCCUUCCAAAAUAGGCGCUUGCAGUUGCUCUCUAAAUUUCUCCAUAAAUUAAUUUCUGGCCUUAUAGAUUCUCCAAAACUACUUUGUUUAAUCAAUUUUAAAAUUAAGUCCUUUAAUACUAGAAAUCCUGAGCUUUUUUUAUCCUACAUAUUCUAAUAAAAAAUAUAUAUUAAAUUUGUAAAUAACUGCAGGUAAUAGUUAUAUCUAUGAUUUUAAAUAGUUAAGUUUAGUUAAAUUAAUACUGUGUACCAUACCUAUUAUUAGCAAUUGUAAUCUAUUAUUGUUGUAUAUAAAUCAUUUUAUAAAAAGACAUUAUAAAUAAAUAAACCAUACAAGUUUUAAUUUUUAAAUUUAAU
Non-coding RNA from Cinara cedri, 590 nucleotides. The record is from the annotation of a GenBank genome assembly. Lineage: Eukaryota; Metazoa; Arthropoda; Insecta; Hemiptera; Aphididae.